ACGAGGGACAAUAUUCCCCAAUAUUCAUGCAAUAACCCUUUUAUUGUAUAGCAAUAUAAUAUUUGAAAGUAAAAAUUGGUUUAAACUAAGAUUUUGUCGUUGAUGACGUCAAGAAUUUUGACCUUUUAUUGCACUAGUGCAAUAUUAGAAUUUAUUGCACACUAACUUUUGGUUACUUUCUGUGGGAAAUACUGUAUAGCUAUGCAAUAAAAUGGUAUACUGUGGAUUCAUUAUUUUUCGUUGUAAACCAAUUUUUCGUGUGUUUUGUGGGUACAGUGGAACCAGGAAUUCAAAUGUUCAGCGUAUAACAUAUCUUUAAUAGGCUUUGUAUACCAAGAUUGACAAAACCAAGAAAUUUAAAAAUAUCCACGAAUAUACAAGUUUUCUGCAAUCCACGAAAAUUGAUACCUACGAAAAUAAAUCAAUCCACAUUAUAAUAUAACAAUCAUGUGCUUUCUCAUUAAAUUUACAAAUGUAAACUACAUUCACAAUGGGUAAAGCUUACGUAUUGCUCUGAUCAUAGAUCGGCAGUCAGGUAAAUAAACAAAAUCUUGCCAGUAAUGCUUACAAAUCUAAAGCUUACGUAUCGCUCUGAUCAUAGAUCGGCAGUCAGGUAAAUAAACAAAAUCUUGCCAGUAAUGCUUACAAAUCUAAAGCUUACGUAUCGCUCUGAUCAUAGGUAAAUAAACAAAAUCUUGCCAGUAAUGCUUACAAAUCUAAAGCUAAUAAACUUUCCAAACACAAUUCGGCAGUAAAGUUAACGAACAAAAACUAGCAGAGCU
This 782-nucleotide long non-coding RNA is filed under the name Mytilus galloprovincialis (Mediterranean mussel). Lineage: Eukaryota; Metazoa; Mollusca; Bivalvia; Mytilida; Mytilidae. The record is from RNAcentral.